CCUUACUAAACUCCAACAGCAGGACUUCGGGGACUACAGUCUGACAGUGGGCAAUGGCGUGGGGAGUCCAGUCACAUACAUUGUCAGCGUAGUGGCUGGCCACCAGAGACACCUGUACAGUUUCGAUAUCUGGAUAAUGCAACAACGUCGUCAAUAUGGUUGUCGUGGCUGCCUGGGUUCAAUGUUGGACGCACUCAGAUGUUUCUAAUUGAGUAUCUACCGUGGACUGUGUAUAAAUCUUAUAAUGACAGGGGCGAGAUGAUGGUGUUAGAAGUGACGGGGCUUUUACCUGGAGAGACUUACAUAUUCCGACUACAAGCUAGAAAUGACUACGGGGAUUCUGAUGGAAAUGUAUUGGUAGAAGCUGGGACUGCUGGUGAUCCACCAGACCAGGAAAAGCUCGAAGCUUCAUGUAUCAGUACAGGGGUAUUAGCAGGAGCGACAGUAGGAGGCAUUCUUUUUACGCUGCUCAUUGGAGGGAUUGUUCUAAUUGUGCUGUACCGAAAGGGGUACAGAGUUACAAACAUUCUUAAAGGAGCUGCACAAAAAAGCUCUAGCUAUCCUGAACCUGUGGAAAUGGACAACAGAGGAUAUUCAUCUCUAGAUCUGAUCACGGCUCCAGCGCAGUAUUUAAAUGUGGAGGAGGAAUCAGAAAAACAACAGUACACACAGUUGAAGAUUUAUGACAACACAAAAGAGACAUGACCAAUCCGACCAGUUUUUUCAUGGAAACUUUGCAUGCGGGUUUGAUGAUGUAUGUUAUCGGAAUUGUCAUCACUGGUGUACAGUCCCAGCUGGCCAGGCCUGUGUUAGUGAGGGAGUCUGAGACAGCCAGCUUCAGGUGG
Molecule: unclassified non-coding RNA, 845 nt
Filed under: Haliotis rubra (blacklip abalone)
Lineage: Eukaryota; Metazoa; Mollusca; Gastropoda; Lepetellida; Haliotidae
Description: uncharacterized LOC124255659, transcript variant X3
Source: RNAcentral